GGCUCAGGAUGAACGCUAGCUACAGGCUUAACACAUGCAAGGUCGAGGGGCAGCAUGAACAAAGUCUUGCUUGUUGAUGGCGACCGGCGCACGGGUGCGUAACGCGUAUGCAACCUACCGUUUAACAGGGGGGAUUAACACUGAGAAAUUGGUACUAAUACCCCAUAACACUUUGAAAGGCAUCUUUCGGAGUUGAAAGUUCCGGCGGUUAGAGAUGGGCAUGCGUUGUAUUAGCUAGAUGGUGAGGUAACGGCUCACCAUGGCGACGAUACAUAGGGGGACUGAGAGGUUAACCCCCCACAUUGGUACUGAGACACGGACCAAACUCCUACGGGAGGCAGCAGUGAGGAAUAUUGGUCAAUGGUCGGAAGACUGAACCAGCCAAGUAGCGUGAAGGAUGAAGGUUCUAUGGAUUGUAAACUUCUUUUAUACGGGAAUUAAAACCACCUACGUGUAGGUGCUUGUAUGUACCGUAUGAAUAAGCAUCGGCUAACUCCGUG
RNAcentral lists this ribosomal RNA (500 nucleotides) under uncultured bacterium. RNAcentral describes it as "bacterial SSU rRNA". It matches the Rfam family "Bacterial small subunit ribosomal RNA", at positions 21 to 507 of the family's 1533-position model. The record is from RNAcentral.